CUACUACUCCCUCCGUCCGAAAAAAAUUGUCCCAAACUUGUCCCUUAAAUAGAUGUAUCUACCACUAACUUGAUGCUAGAUACAUCUAUUUGAAGGACAAACUUUUUCGGAUAGAGGGAGUACAAA
Non-coding RNA from Triticum aestivum (bread wheat), 126 nucleotides. NCBI's taxonomy places the organism in Eukaryota, Viridiplantae, Streptophyta, Magnoliopsida, Poales, Poaceae. The record is from Rfam.